UUAUUGAUUUUUGGCGAAACCAUUUGAUCAUAUGACAAGAUGUGUAUCUA
This 50-nucleotide small RNA is filed under the name Escherichia coli. Its description in RNAcentral is "partial (5' truncated) RNA-OUT". It matches the Rfam family "RNA-OUT", at positions 21 to 70 of the family's 70-position model. From Rfam's summary of the family: Transposition of insertion sequence IS10 is regulated by an anti-sense RNA which inhibits transposase expression when IS10 is present in multiple copies per cell. The anti-sense RNA (RNA-OUT) consists of a stem domain topped by a flexibly paired loop; the 5' end of the target molecule, RNA-IN, is complementary to the top of the loop, and complementarity extends for 35 base-pairs down one side of RNA-OUT. Lineage: Bacteria; Pseudomonadati; Pseudomonadota; Gammaproteobacteria; Enterobacterales; Enterobacteriaceae. The record is from RNAcentral.